AAGUCGUAACAAGGUCUCCGUAGGUGAACCUGCGGAGGGAUCAUUACACAAAUAUGAAGGCGGGCUGGAACCUCUCGGGGUUACAGCCUUGCUGAAUUAUUCACCCUUGUCUUUUGCGUACUUCUUGUUUCCUUGGUGGGUUCGCCACCACUAGGACAAACAUAAACCUUUUGUAAUUGCAAUCAGCGUCAGUAACAAAUUAAUAAUUACAACUUUCAACAACGGAUCUCUUGGUUCUGGCAUCGAUGAAGAACGCAGCGAAAUGCGAUAAGUAGUGUGAAUUGCAGAAUUCAGUGAAUCAUCGAAUCUUUGAACGCACAUUGCGCCCUUUGGUAUUCCAAAGGGCAUGCCUGUUCGAGCGUCAUUUGUACCCUCAAGCUUUGCUUGGUGUUGGGCGUCUUGUCUCUAGCUUUGCUGGAGACUCGCCUUAAAGUAAUUGGCAGCCGGCCUACUGGUUUCGGAGCGCAGCACAAGUCGCACUCUCUAUCAGCAAAGGUCUAGCAUCCAUUAAGCCUUUUUUUCAACUUUUGACCUCGGAUCAGGUAGGGAUACCCGCUGAACUUAAGCAUAUCA
RNAcentral lists this ribosomal RNA (573 nucleotides) under uncultured fungus. RNAcentral's name for it is "eukaryotic LSU rRNA". The stretch from base 211 to 364 matches the Rfam family "5.8S ribosomal RNA". Lineage: Eukaryota; Fungi. The record is from RNAcentral.